GAGAUGUUUGAUUAUUUGUCAAUAAAUAAUUUAAGUGUUAUCUUAUGUCUAUACUAUUUUAAACAAUAUAUUAUAUAGUUUUUCUCAACCUCUCUGCCUCCUCCUUACUUGUAUCAACAAGUAGCAACCCUUUUUAUUUUUUAAUAGUUUUAAUUUAAAUACUUUUAUAGUAUUAAUUCCAAAGUUUGACACUGCUAGGUGAAUGAAAAUUCAGUAGCCACCAUGUUUCUUCAUCUUUUUUUAACUAAAUAAAUAUAUUUAUGCAGACACUUGCAAUAGUGUCACCAAUAUAUUUGAUUUAAGA
This 304-nucleotide long non-coding RNA is filed under the name Trifolium pratense (red clover). RNAcentral's name for it is "long non-coding RNA (TPRA_LNC009726)". The record is from RNAcentral. Lineage: Eukaryota; Viridiplantae; Streptophyta; Magnoliopsida; Fabales; Fabaceae.